Molecule: long non-coding RNA, 1072 nt
Organism: Carassius carassius (crucian carp)
Lineage: Eukaryota; Metazoa; Chordata; Actinopteri; Cypriniformes; Cyprinidae
Exons: 4
Source: RefSeq, a predicted model, not a curated record
UUUCAGGCUAUUGAGUCAAGACAUCAGCGAAUGUUUUCAUGUGAGGAACCCUCAGAUGGGGUGUUGAUCAAAUUUAAAUAUCCAACUGGACACACCAAUAUGAGGAAAUUCCGUUUGUUGGAGCCAAUCCAGAUCUUGUUUGACUUUGUGGGACAGGAUGAUAUUGCCAGUAAAAUCUUUGUGGUGCAAGAAGCUGCAUCAUCAAGAUCAGUUGAGAGCAGUUCCUCCGGGUCAAUAAUGGAUCAUGGCAUAAAAGCAUCCUCAACUUUAUAUGUGCUUUGGUUUUCAAAUAAGGAUGUACAGGAAAUUCUCUCAGAUCAACAAAAUGAUGGAGCUUAUACCCUACACCAUACAUCUCAUGGUUAGUCAUCACUGUCUGAGACCUCCACCCAGCCAAGUCUCUCUGUGCCCUCUUUCCGGCCACCGCUGCCUGAGCCCUCCACCUGCUCACUGCUGCCUGAGCCCUCCACCCAGCCACCGCUCACUCUGUUCUCAUAACCACAAGAAAUCCUGACUCUUUAUGAUGAACCAUCACUCUCUCCUUCAUCUGCCCAAGAACCAAUCAUUAUUCUUGAUGAACAAGAUGACUUGGUUUCACAAAAUCAGUCUCCUGUAUCAACACAUCACCUCGGAGGACCUGUGGAUGAGAUUGAUCUACAGACCAUAUUGAAAAAAAUGGUCAGCAAAGUUGAUGGAAGAUUCUGUCCAACAAACAACCAAAUGUGUGCAGGGAUAAUGUUUUACUGUGUAGCCUACGGGCAUUCAAGCGUAGGUUCUUCAACCCUGAAGCAAAAUUGGAUGUUGUGUUUGUGGAUGAAGAUGACAAUGGUGAAGGGGCAGUUGACGAAGGCAGCCCGACAAGAGAGUACCUAAGGCUGUUGAUGAGGGCCGGCCACCAGUCAAAUAUCUUUGAGGGACACGAGAAAGACCGGCAGUUGUCUCUAGGUAGGGAAGCCCAAAUUCUUAGGAUUGUCCUCAUUCAACUGGCAGAAUUCUAGAAAUGUAUACACGGAAACAUGAUUUCUCCCUUAUUUCUCCUGUCUGAUUUGUUUAUUCUGUUUGUUUUUUAUGU